UGGUCGGACGCCUAGCCUGUGUAAAGCUCCUUCGACGAGUCGAGUAGUUUGGGAAUGCUGCUCUAAAUGGGAGGUAUAUGUCUUCUAAAGCUAAAUACCGGCCAGAGACCGAUAGCGCACAAGUAGAGUGAUCGAAAGAUGAAAAGCACUUUGAAAAGAGGGUUAAAUAGUACGUGAAAUUGUUGAAAGGGAAGCGCUUGUGACCAGACUUGGGCCCGGUGGAUCAUCCAGCGUUCUCGCUGGUGCACUCCGCCGGGUUCAGGCCAGCAUCAGUUCGCCGCGGGGGAAAAAGGCUUCGGGAACGUGGCUCCUACGGGAGUGUUAUAGCCCGUUGCAUAAUACCCUGGGGCGGACUGAGGUUCGCGCUCCGCAAGGAUGCUGGCGUAAUGGUCAUCAGCGACCCGUCUUGAAACACGGA
This 418-nucleotide ribosomal RNA is filed under the name uncultured Torrubiella. RNAcentral's name for it is "LSU rRNA". It matches the Rfam family "Eukaryotic large subunit ribosomal RNA", at positions 226 to 665 of the family's 3401-position model. The record is from RNAcentral. Lineage: Eukaryota; Fungi; Ascomycota; Sordariomycetes; Hypocreales; Cordycipitaceae.